UACGGGGGGGGCAAGCGUUGUUCGGAAUUACUGGGCGUAAAGGGCUCGUAGGUGGCCAACUAAGUCAGACGUGAAAUCCCCAGGCUUAACCUGGGAACUGCGUCCGAUACUGGUUGGCUUGAAUCCGGGAGAGGGAUGUGGAAUUCCAGGUGUAGCGGUGAAAUGCGUAGAUAUCUGGAGGAACACCGGUGGCGAAGGCGACAUCCUGGACCGGUAUUGACGCUGAGGCGCGAAAGCGUGGGGAGCAAACAGG
RNAcentral lists this ribosomal RNA (253 nucleotides) under uncultured bacterium. Its description in RNAcentral is "partial 16S ribosomal RNA". It matches the Rfam family "Bacterial small subunit ribosomal RNA", at positions 524 to 776 of the family's 1533-position model. The record is from RNAcentral.